UGGGGAAUUUUGGACAAUGGGGGCAACCCUGAUCCAGCGACGCCGCGUGGAGGACGAAGGUCUUCGGAUUGUAAACUCCUUUUGAAGGGGAUGAAUGCAUACGUGAAUAACGUAGGGUGACAGUACUCUUCGAAUAAGCCACGGCUAACUUCGUGCCAGCAGCCGCGGUAAUACGAAGGUGGCAAGCGUUACUCGGAAUUACUAGGCGUAAAGCGCAGGUAGGCGGUUCGGAAAGUCUGUUGUGAAAGCUCCCGGCUUAACUGGGAGAGGGCAAUGGAUACUACCGGACUUGAGUGUGGUAGAGGAUUGUGGAAUUCCCGGUGUAGCGGUGAAAUGCGUAGAGAUCGGGAGGAAUACCAAUGGCGAAAGCAGGCAUCUGGGCCAUUACUGACGCUGAGCUGCGAAAGCUAGGGGAGCAAACA
This 422-nucleotide ribosomal RNA is filed under the name uncultured prokaryote. RNAcentral describes it as "bacterial SSU rRNA". It matches the Rfam family "Bacterial small subunit ribosomal RNA", at positions 355 to 774 of the family's 1533-position model. The record is from RNAcentral.